AGUGAACGCUGGCGGUAGGCCUAACACAUGCAAGUCGAACGCCAGCACAGGAGAGCUUGCUCUCUAGGUGGCGAGUGGCGGACGGGUGAGGAAUACAUCGGAAUCUGCCCAGUCGUGGGGGAUAACGUAGGGAAACUUACGCUAAUACCGCAUACGACCUUCGGGUGAAAGAGGGGGAUCGCAAGACCUCUCGCGAUUGGAUGAGCCGAUGUCGGAUUAGCUAGUUAGCGGGGUAAUGGCCCACCAAGGCGACGAUCCGUAGCUGGUCUGAGAGGAUGAUCAGCCACACUGGAACUGAGACACGGUCCAGACUCCUACGGGAGGCAGCAGUGGGGAAUAUUGGACAAUGGGCGCAAGCCUGAUCCAGCCAUACCGCGUGGGUGAAGAAGGCCUUCGGGUUGUAAAGCCCUUUUGUUGGGAAAGAAAUCUUUCAGGCUAAUACCCUGGGAGGAUGACGGUACCCAAAGAAUAAGCACCGGCUAACUUCGUG
This 490-nucleotide ribosomal RNA is filed under the name uncultured bacterium. RNAcentral describes it as "partial 16S ribosomal RNA". It matches the Rfam family "Bacterial small subunit ribosomal RNA", at positions 29 to 507 of the family's 1533-position model. The record is from RNAcentral.